Ceratotherium simum simum (southern white rhinoceros) is the source of this 1533-nucleotide non-coding RNA. The record is from RefSeq and is a predicted model, not a curated record. Lineage: Eukaryota; Metazoa; Chordata; Mammalia; Perissodactyla; Rhinocerotidae.
GUGCCGCUGCGGCCCUUCGCUCCCGCGCCCCGCCGUCGGCCCUGGGAGGCUCCCUGUUUGUUGUCUGUCUCUCCUGCAUUGAAGAGUAAACUCCAUAAAAGCAGGACUUUGUUUUGUUCACUGUCAUACCCUCACCACCUAAAAUAGUGUCUGGCACAGAAAAGGGGCUCAGUAAAAAGUUGUUGAAUGAAUAAGUCACAUGCAGAAGCACUUCCUAGACUGGAAAAGAGCUGGGUGGAUGUUAUUAUCAGUGCUACCGGUAGGAGCUACAUUUCCUAUUUGAGUGGCUUUUUGAAGACAGUGGUAGACUUAAUUUGGAGAAAGAAUUUUUGGUCUGUUUUAAACAUCAUUCAUGCCAUGGUAGGCUCUUCUAAUUUUUCUUUGAAAUCAACUGUGUAAAUUGUUUUCCAGGACCUUUAAGAUGUUUAUACAAAUAGAAGAAUAAAGCAACCCAUUUCAUGGUGUUUCUUGUGCUUCUUUAAUUUAUAAAGAAAAAGCAAAAGCGACAGAAAGUGAUUCACAUUCAAGCACAAACCCUCCUGGCCCACACAGGAGGAAGAGCACCAGUUUCAGAAGCUAUCGUGAGCACUGCUGCUGGGGAGACCGCAGCCCCGGAGACCCUGGGCUGUAGUCCACGUCAGGACACGGCCUGUAGAACACCAAUAGGUAAGGAAAGAUGAAACCUCAAAACAAAACAAAACAAAAGGUAAAACUCUAAGACAAAACAAACAAGCUGAUGUAUCAGAAUCCUAUGAGAAUUUGUUCUUCAUAAUUAAAACACUUAAAAUUUUAGAACUUCUGAGACUUUCAUGAAACUGUAGCCCUUAAAGGAAGAGGAAAAUCAAGACAAGCAGGUUGAGCCUUGGGGUUUUAGUGGCAGUAGGUCCCCAGAUCAUGUUCUAAACCAGAUAUAUUUCUGAACUGGAGUUUUAGCUUGGAGUGGGAUGAAUCCCAAAGCAACAGUCCAUUCAAAGGCAUUGGCUUCUUGUACCUCCUGCUUUCUCUGGCUGAAGCUUUACAUGACUGAAGGCAAUGCUACCUUUUGAGGCAUAAGAAUCCAAUGUUCCCCAGCAGGAGCUAGAAUGCAAAUUGUACUGCUAUUGACAAGCCACUGGCCCAUGUUUUGUUUCUGAAACACUGCUCUUCCAAAAGUGCUUGGGCAUUUUAAUGACUGCACUUGAACAUGCUUAACUGCUAGCAUGUGUAUUCCAAUCAAGGCUACAGACACCCAAGUGCCUAGGCCAAGAGAUUCAGAAGCUAAAAUCUGAGACCAGAGCAGUGUUCACUGAUACUGUGCUUGGCCGGAGUAGGCAGCACCCACACCUUGGACCAGUGUGGAGAUACCAACCACCCCUCAGAUGUGGCUCAGGGCAGGGAGUGUCAGCCACUCUUCUGUUCUAAGCAAAGAUAGAAGACUGCUGAACAUGCACCAUAGUUGAAUUUCAAGUGUUCAUAACUCGUCUGUGUAUCUGACAUUUGGAGACUCCAAGAAGCCUGAUUAUAAACAAUAUCAAUAAAAAAAUCACCAAGAAU